This 485-nucleotide ribosomal RNA is filed under the name uncultured bacterium. Its description in RNAcentral is "bacterial SSU rRNA". It matches the Rfam family "Bacterial small subunit ribosomal RNA", at positions 30 to 507 of the family's 1533-position model. The record is from RNAcentral.
AUUGAACGCUGGCGGCAUGCCUUACACAUGCAAGUCGAACGGCAGCACGGGAGCAAUCCUGGUGGCGAGUGGCGAACGGGUGAGUAAUAUAUCGGAACGUGCCCAGUCGUGGGGGAUAACGUAGCGAAAGCUACGCUAAUACCGCAUACGAUCUACGGAUGAAAGCGGGGGAUCGCAAGACCUCGCGCGAUUGGAGCGGCCGAUAUCAGAUUAGCUAGUUGGUGGGGUAAAAAGCUCACCAAGGCGACGAUCUGUAGCUGGUCUGAGAGGACGACCAGCCACACUGGAACUGAGACACGGUCCAGACUCCUACGGGAGGCAGCAGUGGGGAAUUUUGGACAAUGGGCGCAAGCCUGAUCCAGCAAUGCCGCGUGCAGGAUGAAGGCCUUCGGGUUGUAAACUGCUUUUGUACGGAACGAAACGGUGAGCUCUAAUAAAGCUUGCUAAUGACGGUACCGUAAGAAUAAGCACCGGCUAACUACGUG